This 36-nucleotide small nucleolar RNA is filed under the name Nothobranchius furzeri (turquoise killifish). Its description in RNAcentral is "Small nucleolar RNA U2-19 (ENSNFUG00015002779.1)". It matches the Rfam family "Small nucleolar RNA U2-19". Rfam says of the family: U2-19 is a member of the C/D class of snoRNA which contain the C (UGAUGA) and D (CUGA) box motifs. Lineage: Eukaryota; Metazoa; Chordata; Actinopteri; Cyprinodontiformes; Nothobranchiidae. The record is from Rfam by way of RNAcentral.
GAUCAAUGAUGAAAACAGCCAAAUCUGAGUCUGAGA